AAAACCCCAAAUCGCUCGACAAACCCUAGCUCAACCGAAGCGAAGAAUUUCUGAGAAUCAACCAUUCCGGCAAGAUAAUCGGUUCAACAAUGAAGUAAGUAUAUGAUUUAGCUCUUAUCUGUUACUCUUAUUCUCUAGGUACUGUAAAUCCCUUUCUGUGGUGGCUUGAGCCCAUCCUGCUUGAUAAGCUUUGUCGUAUGGGGUUAGCUAUUGAGAUUCGCCGGCAUCCAUGGUGCUAUUUCGGAUCUGGGCAGGCUAGAGUUAGAAGAUUUUUUUCUGUGCUGAUUUCAUGCGUUUUUAUUGCUUUAUCCCUUAAUCAGUUAUGGGUGUUUUUGUUUGGUCUCUCUUUGGUUUCGCUUGCCGGACUGCUGUCAGUUUUUAUGGGUGAACUGUUUCCGUUGUCGGUCAGCUGCGUGUUCGCAUACUCUCCCUUGUACAUUACAGCUGGCUCCUGAGUUCGACGCACUGCUCUAGUUUGGGUAAACCUCACGUGGGUUGUGUAGUUACUGAUGUGCUCUGGUUUGGGUUUGGUGAAAUUCUAAAAUUGCAUCAGAAAAUUGAUUAUUUUCGUAAUGUAAUGAAAUCAAGUGGGAGAGACUGGCCAAUGAAGAAGGGAUAUCACCGGUAAAAUUGUUCUCAGAAAGCCAUAUUUUUCUCAAGGACGUCAUUUUCGAAAAGAAAUUGGAUGGGAUUUCACCAGAAAACUGAUUGGGUUUGUAAAGAGCAGAUCUGUGACCUUUUGAUUUGUGAAUAGGAGAUUAAGAGAAUGUGAGAUUGGGUUUGUAAAAGAGCAGACUUGUGACCUUUUGAUUUGUGAAUAGGAGAGAGUGUGAGAUUGUUUCUUAAUGUUUUUAAUCUGUUUGUUUUAUUUUAAUUAGAAAUGUUAAAUUAGGUUUUGACCAUUUUGCCUUUUAUUUAAAUAGAUUUAUUUAUUUAAUGAUUAAAAAUAGUUUUUUUGCCACAUAAGCUUCUUAAGGC
This 978-nucleotide long non-coding RNA is filed under the name Panax ginseng (ginseng). RNAcentral describes it as "long non-coding RNA (PGIN_LNC008769)". Lineage: Eukaryota; Viridiplantae; Streptophyta; Magnoliopsida; Apiales; Araliaceae. The record is from RNAcentral.